AGGAAGAACUACAGGAUUCCCCUAGUAACUGCGAGUGAAGCGGGAAAAGCUCAAAUUUAAAAUCUGGUGGUCUUUGGCCAUCCGAGUUGUAAUUUAGAGAAGCGUCUUCCGCGCUGGACCGUGCACAAGUCUCCUGGAAUGGAGCGUCAUAGAGGGUGAGAAUCCCGUCUUUGGCACGGAUGUACCAGGGCUUUUGUGAUGCGCUCUCGAAGAGUCGAGUUGUUUGGGAAUGCAGCUCAAAAUGGGUGGUGAACUCCAUCUAAAGCUAAAUAUUGGCGAGAGACCGAUAGCGAACAAGUACCGUGAGGGAAAGAUGAAAAGCACUUUGGAAAGAGAGUGAAACAGUACGUGAAAUUGUUGAAAGGGAAACGCUUGAAGUCAGUCACGUCGACCGAGACUCAGCCUUGCCUCGGCUUGGUGUAUUUCUCGGCUGACGGGUCAGCAUCAAUUUUGCCCCUUGGAUAAUGGCGAGGGAAAUGUGACACCUUUACGGUGUGUUAUAGUCUCUCGUCGCAUGCAAGGGUCGGGAUUGAGGAACUCAGCACGCGCCCUCGGGCGUCGGGGCUUUGCCCACGAUACGUGCUUAGGAUGUUGGCGUAAUGGCUUUAAACGACCCGUCUUGAAACACGGACCAAGGAGUCUAACAUGCCUGCGAGUGUUCGGGUGGAAAACCCGUGCGCGCAAUGAAAGUGAAAGUUGGGACCUCUGUCGUGGAGGGCACCGACGCCCGGACCAGACCUUCUGUGACGGUUCUGCGGUAGAGCAUGUAUGUUAGGACCCGAAAGAUGGUGAACUAUGCCUGAAUAGGGUGAAGCCAGAGGAAACUCUGGUGGAGGCUCGUAGCGAUUCUGACGUGCAAAUCGAUCGUCAAAUUUGGGUAUAGGGGCGAAAGACUAAUCGAACCAUCUAGUAGCUGGUUCCUGCCGAGUUUUCCCCCUAGGAAA
Molecule: ribosomal RNA, 944 nt
Filed under: Russula sp.
Lineage: Eukaryota; Fungi; Basidiomycota; Agaricomycetes; Russulales; Russulaceae
Description: partial large subunit ribosomal RNA
Rfam family: Eukaryotic large subunit ribosomal RNA
Source: RNAcentral